RNAcentral lists this long non-coding RNA (1140 nucleotides) under Heterocephalus glaber (naked mole-rat). Its description in RNAcentral is "lncRNA (ENSHGLG00100052551.1)". Lineage: Eukaryota; Metazoa; Chordata; Mammalia; Rodentia; Bathyergidae. The record is from RNAcentral.
GUUUAUUCUUACUGGUUGUUUUUUUACUUUUCAAACUAAUCCUUCAUGGAAAAUAACUAUAAUACUGUUUCAUCAUUUUUUGCUUUAGAGUUAUUUCACUUUUUAAAAAGAAUACCAUUUUAUUAACCCACAAUAAUAGAAUUGUCAAUUGAAGCUGCAUGUGUAGGCUGGUCAGUGCAUUAUCUGCUAGCAGAAAAAUCUAUACAGGAAGCCAGGAUAUAAUUCAAAGAUUAUUUUGUUAAUAGGCAGAAAUAUAAUUAGGUUAGUUUACUAAUAGGGAAACCAAAGAAGGAGAUUACAUGGUUGGCUCAUUAAAUCCUGAUGCCUUUUUGCUACCAACUCCACAGUGGGCUCUUCCUGCCAAGUCUGAGGUAAAAAGAGGUUGUUUGCUCAACAGUUAAAUGUCAGGGACAGGACUGCAAAACCCUACUCUUAAUCACUGUAUUUUACCCUUACCUAGAGCAAGAAAGAGAAGUAGAGUUGGUAGCAAAGAGGCAUCGGACAAAAUUCCGCUCUUUUACAUUAGGUUUCUUUUAGUAGCAGUUCAAUUUAUUAAAUUGUUGCAUCAAAACAAAGCAGAAGCCUGGCAUGUUGGCAACCCUGUAAUCCCAGGAGGAUGAAAAUUGGAGGCAAGCCUGCACUACAUACUGUAUGUAGCAAGACCCUGUCUCAAAAAAACAAAGAGCCAGAUGAGGUUGUACACAUCUGAAAUCCCAGCACUUGGGGUGCUGAAGCAGGAGGAUCACUGAGAGUUUGAGAGGCCAGUUUGCACUACAAAGCAAGAUCCUAUUUAAAAGAAAAAACAAAAACAGCUUGAACUCCAUAGUGAGACCCUGUCUCAAAAAACCAAACCGAAACAAAAAAACCAAAACAACAACAAAGCCCAACUCAUUUUCAUUGAUUUUAUAUUAUUAACAUUAUCCAUUGCCUUCUUCCAUAAGUAUUUACAUCUGUGAGGCAUACCCAGGUACUAAUGCGAUGAAAGUCCUGAUUGCUGCCUAUUUCAGGCUCUAAAUGCAGAUGCCUGGCUAACUUCUUACCCUUUCCUUCCCAGGUCAGCUGCUACUUCCUGGGUGAAGCUUUCACUUACAGAGAUUUCUCACAAGGUUCUGUGUUUUCUUUCAUGGCACUAAGAGCAGC